This is a ribosomal RNA of Serratia sp. DD3, 148 nucleotides long. It matches the Rfam family "Bacterial small subunit ribosomal RNA", at positions 1 to 142 of the family's 1533-position model. The record is from Rfam. NCBI's taxonomy places the organism in Bacteria, Pseudomonadati, Pseudomonadota, Gammaproteobacteria, Enterobacterales, Yersiniaceae.
UAAUUGAAGAGUUUGAUCAUGGCUCAGAUUGAACGCUGGCGGCAGGCUUAACACAUGCAAGUCGAGCGGUAGCACAGGGGAGCUUGCUCCCUGGGUGACGAGCGGCGGACGGGUGAGUAAUGUCUGGGAAACUGCCUGAUGGAGGGGG